UACGAGGGGCAAGCGUUGUUCGGAAUUAUUGGGCGUAAAGGGUGCGUAGGUGGUGAGGUAAGUCGGAUGUGAAAUCUCCGGGCUCAACCCGGAAACUGCAUUGGAAACUACCUUGCUUAGGGUUUGAGGGGGACUGGAAGUUCUCGGUGUAGCAGUGAAAUGCGUAGAUAUCGAGAGGAACACCAGUGGCGAAGGCGAGUCCCUGGAAAACACCCGACACUGAGGCACGAAAGCUAGGGGAGCAAAACAGG
RNAcentral lists this ribosomal RNA (251 nucleotides) under uncultured bacterium. Its description in RNAcentral is "partial 16S ribosomal RNA". It matches the Rfam family "Bacterial small subunit ribosomal RNA", at positions 526 to 776 of the family's 1533-position model. The record is from RNAcentral.